This 207-nucleotide ribosomal RNA is filed under the name uncultured bacterium. Its description in RNAcentral is "partial 16S ribosomal RNA". It matches the Rfam family "Bacterial small subunit ribosomal RNA", at positions 568 to 774 of the family's 1533-position model. The record is from RNAcentral.
GGCGUAGGCGGUAUGCCAAGUCAGGGGUGAAAGGCCCGGGCUCAACCCAGGAACUGCCUUUGAAACUGGCAAACUAGAGUCCGAAAGAGGAUGGCGGAAUUCCCAGUGUAGAGGUGAAAUUCGUAGAUAUUGGGAAGAACACCAGUGGCGAAGGCGGCCAUCUGGAUCGGAACUGACGCUGAGGCGCGAAAGCGUGGGGAGCAAACA